AGAUAGAGGUGCGGGCUUCAUCAGUAUCGCCUGACUACAGACCGGAACAGGUUGUGUGAGAAAGGGGAGACCGCCGAAGAAAUCAGAAGCAUCCGGAGCGGAAGAUUUCUGGGCUGCAGUACAAUAUACUGCAGACUGUCACAUCAGUGGAGCGCUAUCAGG
Molecule: non-coding RNA, 162 nt
Filed under: uncultured Anaerobutyricum sp.
Lineage: Bacteria; Bacillati; Bacillota; Clostridia; Lachnospirales; Lachnospiraceae
Description: Lysine riboswitch
Rfam family: Lysine riboswitch aptamer
About the family: Riboswitches are metabolite binding domains within certain messenger RNAs that serve as precision sensors for their corresponding targets. Allosteric rearrangement of mRNA structure is mediated by ligand binding, and this results in modulation of gene expression.
Source: RNAcentral